This 733-nucleotide ribosomal RNA is filed under the name uncultured bacterium. Its description in RNAcentral is "bacterial SSU rRNA". It matches the Rfam family "Bacterial small subunit ribosomal RNA", at positions 33 to 763 of the family's 1533-position model. The record is from RNAcentral.
ACGGUGGCGGCAUGCCUUACACAUGCAAGUCGAACGGUAACAGGUCUUCGGACGCUGACGAGUGGCGAACGGGUGAGUAAUACAUCGGAACGUGCCCAGUCGUGGGGGAUAACUACUCGAAAGAGUAGCUAAUACCGCAUACGAUCUGAGGAUGAAAGCGGGGGACCUUCGGGCCUCGCGCGAUUGGAGCGGCCGAUGGCAGAUUAGGUAGUUGGUGGGAUAAAAGCUUACCAAGCCGACGAUCUGUAGCUGGUCUGAGAGGACGACCAGCCACACUGGGACUGAGACACGGCCCAGACUCCUACGGGAGGCAGCAGUGGGGAAUUUUGGACAAUGGGCGAAAGCCUGAUCCAGCAAUGCCGCGUGCAGGAUGAAGGCCUUCGGGUUGUAAACUGCUUUUGUACGGAACGAAAAAGCUUCUCCUAAUACGAGAGGCCCAUGACGGUACCGUAAGAAUAAGCACCGGCUAACUACGUGCCAGCAGCCGCGGUAAUACGUAGGGUGCGAGCGUUAAUCGGAAUUACUGGGCGUAAAGCGUGCGCAGGCGGUUAUGUAAGACAGAUGUGAAAUCCCCGGGCUCAACCUGGGAACUGCAUUUGUGACUGCAUGGCUAGAGUACGGUAGAGGGGGAUGGAAUUCCGCGUGUAGCAGUGAAAUGCGUAGAUAUGCGGAGGAACACCGAUGGCGAAGGCAAUCCCCUGGACCUGUACUGACGCUCAUGCACGAAAGCGUG